RNAcentral lists this ribosomal RNA (862 nucleotides) under Rhodococcus sp. 334P3S. Its description in RNAcentral is "bacterial SSU rRNA". It matches the Rfam family "Bacterial small subunit ribosomal RNA", at positions 56 to 932 of the family's 1533-position model. The record is from RNAcentral. Lineage: Bacteria; Bacillati; Actinomycetota; Actinomycetes; Mycobacteriales; Nocardiaceae.
UGCAGUCGAGCGGUAAGGCCUUUCGGGGUACACGAGCGGCGAACGGGUGAGUAACACGUGGGUGAUCUGCCCUGCACUUCGGGAUAAGCCUGGGAAACUGGGUCUAAUACCGGAUAUGACCUCAGGUUGCAUGACUUGGGGUGGAAAGAUUUAUCGGUGCAGGAUGGGCCCGCGGCCUAUCAGCUUGUUGGUGGGGUAAUGGCCUACCAAGGCGACGACGGGUAGCCGACCUGAGAGGGUGACCGGCCACACUGGGACUGAGACACGGCCCAGACUCCUACGGGAGGCAGCAGUGGGGAAUAUUGCACAAUGGGCGAAAGCCUGAUGCAGCGACGCCGCGUGAGGGAUGACGGCCUUCGGGUUGUAAACCUCUUUCAGCAGGGACGAAGCGCAAGUGACGGUACCUGCAGAAGAAGCACCGGCUAACUACGUGCCAGCAGCCGCGGUAAUACGUAGGGUGCAAGCGUUGUCCGGAAUUACUGGGCGUAAAGAGUUCGUAGGCGGUUUGUCGCGUCGUUUGUGAAAACCAGCAGCUCAACUGCUGGCUUGCAGGCGAUACGGGCAGACUUGAGUACUGCAGGGGAGACUGGAAUUCCUGGUGUAGCGGUGAAAUGCGCAGAUAUCAGGAGGAACACCGGUGGCGAAGGCGGGUCUCUGGGCAGUAACUGACGCUGAGGAACGAAAGCGUGGGUAGCGAACAGGAUUAGAUACCCUGGUAGUCCACGCCGUAAACGGUGGGCGCUAGGUGUGGGUUCCUUCCACGGAAUCCGUGCCGUAGCUAACGCAUUAAGCGCCCCGCCUGGGGGAGUACGGCCGCAAGGCUAAAACUCAAAAGGAAUUGACGGGGGGCCCGCACAAGCGG